RNAcentral lists this ribosomal RNA (440 nucleotides) under uncultured bacterium. RNAcentral describes it as "partial 16S ribosomal RNA". It matches the Rfam family "Bacterial small subunit ribosomal RNA", at positions 338 to 795 of the family's 1533-position model. The record is from RNAcentral.
CCUACGGGAGGCAGCAGUGGGGGAUAUUGCACAAUGGGGGGAACCCUGAUGCAGCGACGCCGCGUGGGUGAAGAAGCGCCUCGGCGCGUAAAGCCCUGUCAGCAGGGAAGAAAAUGACGGUACCUGAAGAAGAAGCCCCGGCUAACUACGUGCCAGCAGCCGCGGUAAUACGUAGGGGGCAAGCGUUAUCCGGAUUUACUGUGUGUAAAGGGGGCGCAGACGGCGAUGCAAGCCAGGAGUGAAAGCCCGGGGCCCAACCCCGGGACGGCUCUUGGAACUGCGUGGCUGGAGUGCAGGAGGGGCAGGCGGAAUUCCUGGUGUAGCGGUGGAAGGCGUAGAUAUCAGGAGGAACACCGGUGGCGAAGGCGGCCUGCUGGACUGCAACUGACGUUGAGGCCCGAAAGCGUGGGGAGCAAACAGGAUUAGAUACCCGGGUAGUC